UACGGAGGGUGCGAGCGUUAAUCGGACUUACUGGGCCUAAAGCGCGCGUAGGCGGCGUGAUAAGGCGGUUGUGAAAGCCCCGGGCUCAACCUGGGAACGGCAUCAGUAACUGUCAGGCUAGAGUGCAGGAGAGGAAGGUAGAAUUCCCGGUGUAGCGGUGAAAUGUGUAGAGAUCGGGAGGAAUACCAGUGGCGAAGGCGGCCUUCUGGACUGACACUGACGCUGAGGUGCGAAAGCGUGGGUAGCAAACAGG
This 253-nucleotide unclassified non-coding RNA is filed under the name uncultured Halomonadaceae bacterium. RNAcentral's name for it is "contains 16S-23S intergenic spacer region". It matches the Rfam family "Bacterial small subunit ribosomal RNA", at positions 524 to 776 of the family's 1533-position model. The record is from RNAcentral. Lineage: Bacteria; Pseudomonadati; Pseudomonadota; Gammaproteobacteria; Oceanospirillales; Halomonadaceae.